CUAUGCUGAGUUCAUAUGAAAUACCUAUAUAGCAUACACAGAUGUUACAAUAACCUAUGUAGAAAAUGAAAAUAACAGAAUGUAAAUGACAGACAAGAAUAUUCCUAUAAUCUGAGCCAACCAAUACUAUAGUGCUAGCACAACACUCCUCCUUACAAAAUUGGCUAGACAUCUUUAAACAUAAUCUUCUAGAUGUUUUGAUGGAGUGAUCUUCCUUUUAGACCUUUCAUUCGUGCUUGUCAUAUCUUGUUGGACCAUGAUUCCCUUCCUAUCAUAUAACCUUAUCUGUAAGUCUGAUUCUAAAGUGGCGAUUCACCUCAUUCAGAAUGGUACUUCAGUUUUUCAUCCUUAUCAUCUUUUGGUGGAGUAAAUACGUACGUUAUCUCAGCAAGGCCAGGUAGUGUUUCAACAUUGCUACCGAGAAAGCAAUUUUUGUGCUGAUGCUUUUGCAAAAAAGGGAGCGCAUAAAAUGACUCAUCCAUGACGAUCUGGAAUGUUU
Molecule: long non-coding RNA, 499 nt
Filed under: Glycine max (soybean)
Lineage: Eukaryota; Viridiplantae; Streptophyta; Magnoliopsida; Fabales; Fabaceae
Description: long non-coding RNA (GMAX_LNC001971)
Source: RNAcentral